CUAAGAAUAUUCCGCAAUGGACGGAAGUCUGACGGAGCGACGCCGCGUGGAUGAAGAAGGCCGAAAGGUUGUAAAGUUCUUUUGCUGGGGAAGAAUAACCGCAGGAGGGAAUGCCUGUGGGAUGACAAGAACCGGCGAAUAAGCCCCGGCCAACUACGUGCCAGCAGCCGCGGUAACACGUAGGGGGCGAGCGUUGUUCGGAAUUACUGGGCGUAAAGGGCAUGUAGGCGGCUUGGAAAGCCUGGCGUGAAAGUCUGCAGCUUAACUGCAGGGGUGCGCUGGGAACUGCUGAGCUUGAGUGACGGAGAGGGAGCUGGAAUUCCUGGUGUAGGGGUGAAAUCUGUAGAUAUCAGGAAGAACACCGAUGGCGAAGGCAAGCUCCUGGCCGAUGACUGACGCUGAGGUGCGAAAGUGUGGGGAUCAAACAGGAUUAGAUACCCUGGUAGUCCACACAGUCAACGAUGUGCACUAGGUGCUGGGGCGGUAGCUUCGGUGCCGGAGCGAACGUGGUAAGUGCACCGCCUGGGGAGUAUGCUCGCAAGGGUGAAACUCAAAUGAAUUGACGGGGGUC
Molecule: ribosomal RNA, 571 nt
Filed under: uncultured bacterium
Lineage: Bacteria
Description: partial 16S ribosomal RNA
Rfam family: Bacterial small subunit ribosomal RNA
Source: RNAcentral